RNAcentral lists this ribosomal RNA (292 nucleotides) under uncultured bacterium. Its description in RNAcentral is "partial 16S ribosomal RNA". It matches the Rfam family "Bacterial small subunit ribosomal RNA", at positions 505 to 796 of the family's 1533-position model. The record is from RNAcentral.
GUGUCAGCCGCCGCGGUAAGACAGAGGGUGCAAACGUUGUUCGGAAUUACUGGGCGUAAAGCGCGUGUAGGCUGCUCGGAAAGUCGGAUGUGAAAGCCCUGGGCUCAACCCAGGAAGUGCAUUCGAAACUCCCGAGCUUGAGUUUCGGAGAGGCAGGCGGAAUUCUCGGUGUAGAGGUGAAAUUCGUAGAUAUCGAGAGGAACACCGGUGGCGAAGGCGGCCUGCUGGACGAUGACUGACGCUGAGACGCGAAAGCGUGGGGAGCAAACAGGAUUAGAAACCCUCGUAGUCC